This is a long non-coding RNA of Bombus pyrosoma, 646 nucleotides long. RefSeq lists it as uncharacterized. The record is from RefSeq and is a predicted model, not a curated record. NCBI's taxonomy places the organism in Eukaryota, Metazoa, Arthropoda, Insecta, Hymenoptera, Apidae. The transcript has 3 exons.
ACAUUACAACGAGUAUAUCGUAGCUUUGGUAUGUUACGUACAUUCGCUUAUUACGUGCAUUCUGUGCGUACUUCUACGUAGACGCAUAAAAAUCCGCUGUCUAGUGAUCAGCUUGCAGUUUGCACGCGCUGGAUCUGCGCGAAGGCAGAUCGUAUCUGCUCCCUUGGAACGUAUCAAUUGUACAACAUGUGCGCUCGCGCGCGCACGCUCGAUAAAUCAACAUCAAGCGAGGCGAUGUACAAACAAGUGUUCCAUGGUGUAUCCCGGAGAAUCGAGACUUCGUUUCCUUUUUUCCAUCCUGCUCUGUGUUUUUUCACCGGUUACUGUCUCUGUCGUUUUGUAGGGCGUACGAGCCUAGAUGCAUUCCGUGGAUGUGAAUCACUGCAGCGGAGGCUAAAAUAAUUGGACGGGUCGUCGAUCCGAUAAUAUUCAGCUAAUAUCAUCAGUGAAACUUCACAACUAAGAAUUCGUCAUCACGCGCUAAUAGAUUACGGUGAUUACAAGAGAAGGGAAUUUGACAUUCCUUGAACAAACUUUCCUUUUGACGAGUAAAAGUUAUACCCUCGUGGCAAACCAUAGUCAUCAAGCUGUCAAUUUAGAUCGCUUAAAAAUCGUUUGUAUCCCGCUUUGGCGAAUUGGUAACGGG